This 329-nucleotide ribosomal RNA is filed under the name uncultured soil bacterium. RNAcentral's name for it is "bacterial SSU rRNA". It matches the Rfam family "Bacterial small subunit ribosomal RNA", at positions 26 to 366 of the family's 1533-position model. The record is from RNAcentral.
AGCCUGAACGCUGGCGGCGUGGCUAAGACAUGCAAGUCGCACGGUGUAGCAAUACACAGUGGCGAACGGGUGAGUAAUGAAUCGCUAAUGUGCCCCGGACUCUGGGAUAGCUAUCCGAAAGGGUAGGUAAUACCAGAUGAUAUAACCGCUCCGCAUGGAGUGGUUCUCAAAGGUCCGCCGGUCUGGGAGCAGGCGAUUUCGUAUCAGCUUGUUGGUGAGGUAACAGCUCACCAAGGCGACGACGCGUAGCCGGACUGAGAGGUUGGCCGGCCACACUUGGGACUGAGACACUGCCCAGACUCCUACGGGGGCUGCAGUAACGAUCUUCG